Molecule: long non-coding RNA, 624 nt
Filed under: Capsicum annuum
Lineage: Eukaryota; Viridiplantae; Streptophyta; Magnoliopsida; Solanales; Solanaceae
Description: long non-coding RNA (CANN_LNC010927)
Source: RNAcentral
AAUAGGGGAUGACAUUAGGCAUUUACAGCUACAUCAUUUUCACUGUUUCAACUUGUUGUUUUCCAGUCCUUCUUCCCCUUCUUUUGACACAAACAAGUGAAAUUUUGUAUGGAAAGUAAACUCACGAUUAUCGUAAGUUAAAAUUCUUAUCUUCUUUCUGCUUACUAGCUUGAAUCUCUUAAAAACUACCCUAACCAACCAAAGACCUCAUUACCAAGAGUACAACAAGGAUCUCUUAACUGAAUGAGAAUCUUCAUAUUAGCCUUCUUGUCGUACAAAAUUUUCAUGAAAGACCAUAAAAGGGUUGUGCUAUGGUAACAAAGUAUAGGGAAAUUUAAUUAUCUUUAUACAUAGAGGGUUAACAGAAACCUUUUACUUUCCCCUGCAGGUUAAGAGACAAAGUAAGUCUCGUGGGAGGAAGCCUAGACUAUGGGCGCUAUUAAUGAAUUUGCUUGCUUUUCGUUCAGAGACAUCAAACUUCAUCUUAAUGGAGUAUAAUGUAAUGUUGUAUAUAAUUUAUAAAUUAGAAAAAUGAUUUGAACUUUCCUUCUUUCCCUUUUUCUACUCUUUUAUGAUAGAUUCAACUAUUUGAGAAAAUCAUCAUUUAGCAAUCACACAUUUGGU